This 504-nucleotide ribosomal RNA is filed under the name uncultured bacterium. RNAcentral's name for it is "partial 16S ribosomal RNA". It matches the Rfam family "Bacterial small subunit ribosomal RNA", at positions 29 to 523 of the family's 1533-position model. The record is from RNAcentral.
AGUGAACGCUGGCGGUAGGCCUAACACAUGCAAGUCGAACGGCAGCACAGGAGAGCUUGCUCUCUGGGUGGCGAGUGGCGGACGGGUGAGGAAUACAUCGGAAUCUACUCUGUCGUGAGGGAUAACGUAGGGAAACUUACGCUAAUACCGCAUACGACCUACGGGUGAAAGCAGGGGACCUUCGGGCCUUGCGCGAUUGAAUGAGCCGAUGUCGGAUUAGCUAGUUGGCGGGGUAAAGGCCCACCAAGGCGACGAUCCGUAGCUGGUCUGAGAGGAUGAUCAGCCACACUGGAACUGAGACACGGUCCAGACUCCUACGGGAGGCAGCAGUGGGGAAUAUUGGACAAUGGGCGCAAGCCUGAUCCAGCCAUACCGCGUGGGUAAGAAGGCCUUCGGGUUGUAAAGCCCUUUUGUUGGGAAAGAAAUCAGCUGGCUAAUACCCGGUUGGGAUGACGGUACCCAAAGAAUAAGCACCGGCUAACUUCGUGCCAGCCGCCGCCGUAA